Long non-coding RNA from Lolium perenne, 1123 nucleotides. RefSeq lists it as uncharacterized. Lineage: Eukaryota; Viridiplantae; Streptophyta; Magnoliopsida; Poales; Poaceae. The record is from RefSeq and is a predicted model, not a curated record.
UGGACGCAGUCAUUUACUGGCUUCAGAACAUGAUGCUUCUGUGGUAGAUUAUGGUACACGUAGUCAUAAGGAUCAGCAUUCUCAUUCUGUUUACUCGGGGGAACAGCACUUGUGACUCGCCAUGAAUCGAACACGUCGCCUGCCAAGACAAAACAAGCAGUAACAAAUUAGAUGGAGAAAAUCUAAUAUAAUAUAAAUAGGAAUAAAUUAAAUGCACCAAAUUUACCUGUUCCACGAAAAAGCCUGCACUCAUCGUCAUCAUCAUCAUGUAUUGUUUGUUCCUCUUGUAUAUUAUCUAUAUCUAUUUUGAAAACAUGUUAAUUUUAUUGAACCCAUUUGAACCUGGCAACAUUUGUAUAUUUGAAGGUUUUAUGAAAAGCCAGCACUAUUUUUUUUCAUUUUACCUUCAAAUAUAGAACCAUGUUCAACCGGCUCAAAAAUGCUUGUAGUACAGUCAUCAUCACUGUUUGUGUCUCGAAGAUCUGCAAAAAAAAGCAUAAACAAGUCUUACAUAUUGGAAGUUAAUGGACAACUUUUGCACAGCGAGUACUAAAUACCUGUUUGAUUAUUUUUAGAUUGUUGUGUUUGUAUGACGGGUGUGCACCAUCCGUUGAUGAAGGGUGACUUGUGUUCCUGGACCAAUUUCUUAUACUCACGGUUAUUGUGCAACCAUACGUCCUUCUGUCCAUCCGUCAUUGAGGUGUACCGUUCCCUUUCACGCUGUCGCUUUCGCUCAGAGGAUUCAAGUUGUCGUUUCUUCUCAGAAUAUGCACAUUUUUCAGCGAAGCUCUCUUGCCAAUGCAACCCUGCAGAUGUGGACAAAUUUUGCCGAUCUUUGACGGAUCUCACAUCUCCCAGGGAAUUGCGAUGAAUCUGAUGAAGUCAUGUCAGAUGCAUAGUUAUGUCUGCCAACAGGAGCCACAUCUACAAAUUCAGUUCAGCUAAAAAAUCACUGGGUGAAUCCAGAUUGUCCAGUACCAGGUGUAUGACAUACUGUGCUAUCGCCAACUGUAAAGGUUUUGAGGAGAAAACAAUAUGCUAUGAUCGUUGCAUGACUAUGACAGUUGCAUUAGUGAAGUCGAAAGCACGGUUGAAAUCACCUUGAAGAAUCGGAGAAGCUGGA